Molecule: small nuclear RNA, 109 nt
Filed under: Balaenoptera musculus (blue whale)
Lineage: Eukaryota; Metazoa; Chordata; Mammalia; Artiodactyla; Balaenopteridae
Source: RNAcentral
GUGCUCGCUUCGGCAGCAUAUAUAUACUAAAAUUGGAACGAUACAGAGAAGAUUAGUAUGUCCCCUGUGCAAGGAUGACACGCAAAUUUGUGAAGCGUUCCAUAUUUUU